Molecule: ribosomal RNA, 432 nt
Filed under: uncultured bacterium
Lineage: Bacteria
Description: bacterial SSU rRNA
Rfam family: Bacterial small subunit ribosomal RNA
Source: RNAcentral
CCUACGGGUGGCAGCAGUGGGGAAUAUUGGGCAAUGGGCGAAAGCCUGACCCAGCAACGCCGCGUGAAGGAAGAAGGCUUUCGGGUUGUAAACUUCUUUUGUCAGGGACGAAGCAAGUGACGGUACCUGACGAAUAAGCCACGGCUAACUACGUGCCAGCAGCCGCGGUAAUACGUAGGUGGCAAGCGUUAUCCGGAUUUACUGGGUGUAAAGGGCGUGUAGGCGGGACUGCAAGUCAGAUGUGAAAACUCAGGGCUCAACCCUGAGCCUGCAUUUGAAACUGUAGUUCUUGAGUACUGGAGAGGCAGACGGAAUUCCUAGUGUAGCGGUGAAAUGCGUAGAUAUUAGGAGGAACACCAGUGGCGAAGGCGGUCUGCUGGACAGCAACUGACGCUGAGGCGCGAAAGCGUGGGGAGCAAACAGGAUUAGAUA